AAUAAUCAUGGGCCAGACUGGGAAGAAGUCUGAGAAGGGACCAGUUUGUUGGCGGAAGCGCGUGAAAUCAGAGUACAUGCGACUGCGACAGCUCAAGAGGUUCAGGCGAGCCGAUGAAGUGAAGAGUAUGUUUAGUUCCAAUCGUCAGAAAAUUUUGGAAAGAACGGAAAUCCUAAACCAAGAAUGGAAACAGCGAAGGAUACAGCCUGUUCACAUCCUGACUUCUGUGAGCUCAUUGCGCGGGACCAGGGAGGCCAUUCACCUGCUCUUCCCUCUACGAUUUUCCAUAACACAGUUUUUACUUGGAACCAGCCUUCUGCCAAGAGUCUCAGUUUGGUUGUGUACUCCUACAACUCCUAUUUUUGGCUUGACUUCCCUCUCCAGCUCCCAGUGGUCCAGCCACACAGUCGCCUAUUGUACCAGCUGGUUGAUUGUUCGGUGACCAGUGACUUGGAUUUUCCAACACAAGUCAUCCCAUUAAAGACUCUGAAUGCAGUUGCCUCAGUACCCAUAAUGUACUCUUGGUCUCCUCUACAGCAGAAUUUCAUGGUAGAAGAUGAAACUGUUUUACAUAACAUUCCUUAUAUGGGGGAUGAAGUUUUAGACCAGGAUGGGACUUUCAUUGAAGAAUUAAUAAAAAAUUAUGAUGGAAAAGUACACGGGGAUAGAGAAUGUGGGUUUAUAAAUGAUGAAAUUUUUGUGGAGUUGGUGAAUGCUCUUGGCCAGUACAAUGAUGAUGAUGAUGACGAUGAUGGAGAUGAUCCCGAUGAAGGAGAAGAAAAACAGAAAGAUCUGGAGGAGAACAGAGAUGAUAAAGAAAGCCACCCACCUCGGAAAUUUCCUUCUGACAAAAUUUUUGAAGCCAUUUCCUCAAUGUUUCCAGAUAAGGGCACAGCAGAAGAACUAAAGGAAAAGUAUAAAGAACUCACUGAGCAGCAGCUCCCAGGGGCACUGCCUCCAGAAUGUACCCCGAACAUAGAUGGACCAAAUGCUAAAUCUGUUCAGAGGGAGCAGAGCCUGCAUUCAUUUCACACACUCUUCUGUAGGCGAUGUUUCAAGUAUGACUGCUUCCUACACCCUUUUCAUGCAACACCUAACACUUACAAGCGGAAGAACACGGAAACAGCUCUGGACAACAAGCCUUGUGGACCACAGUGUUACCAACAUUUGGAGGGAGCAAAGGAGUUCGCUGCCGCCCUCACUGCUGAGCGGAUCAAGACGCCCCCCAAACGCCCAGGAGGUCGCAGACGAGGGAGGCUUCCCAACAACAGCAGCAGGCCCAGCACCCCCACCAUUAAUGUGCUGGAGUCAAAGGACACGGACAGUGACAGGGAAGCUGGGACCGAAACAGGUGGAGAGAACAAUGAUAAAGAAGAAGAGGAGAAAAAAGACGAAACUUCGAGCUCCUCUGAAGCAAAUUCUCGGUGUCAAACGCCAAUAAAGAUGAAGCCGAACAGUGAGCCCCCUGAGAAUGUGGAGUGGAGUGGGGCCGAGGCCUCCAUGUUCCGGGUCCUCAUCGGUACCUACUACGACAACUUCUGCGCCAUUGCCAGGUUAAUUGGGACCAAAACAUGUAGACAGGUGUAUGAGUUUCGGGUCAAAGAGUCCAGCAUCAUAGCUCCAGUUCCCGCUGAGGAUGUCGAUACUCCUCCAAGGAAGAAGAAGAGAAAACACCGGUUGUGGGCUGCACACUGCAGAAAGAUACAGCUGAAAAAAGACGGCUCCUCUAACCACGUUUACAACUACCAACCCUGUGACCAUCCACGGCAGCCUUGUGACAGUUCGUGCCCUUGUGUGAUAGCACAGAAUUUUUGUGAAAAGUUUUGUCAGUGUAGUUCAGAGUGUCAGAACCGCUUUCCUGGCUGCCGCUGCAAAGCACAGUGCAACACCAAGCAGUGCCCCUGCUACCUGGCCGUCCGGGAGUGCGACCCUGACCUGUGUCUGACGUGCGGAGCUGCUGACCACUGGGACAGCAAGAACGUGUCCUGCAAGAACUGCAGCAUCCAGCGGGGCUCCAAGAAGCAUUUAUUGUUGGCACCAUCUGAUGUGGCUGGCUGGGGGAUUUUCAUCAAAGAUCCUGUACAGAAAAAUGAAUUCAUCUCGGAAUACUGUGGAGAGAUAAUUUCUCAAGAUGAAGCCGACAGAAGAGGCAAAGUGUAUGAUAAAUACAUGUGCAGCUUUCUCUUCAACUUGAAUAACGAUUUUGUGGUGGACGCAACCCGUAAGGGUAACAAAAUUCGUUUUGCAAAUCAUUCAGUCAAUCCAAACUGCUAUGCAAAAGCGUGUCUCUUUCUAGUCAUGAUGGUGAACGGCGAUCACAGGAUAGGGAUCUUUGCGAAGAGAGCCAUCCAGACUGGUGAAGAGCUGUUUUUUGAUUACAGGUACGACCCAAAGCAGGUGGGACAGCGCCCGAGGACACACUGUGCUGGAGUGGGAGGACGCGGUGAAUGAGGCGCAGCUGGGUGUCACUGGAUGUGUGUGCCUUUCUCUGCACCCACUGAAGAAACGAAUGGUGGGACAAGUCAACCGUGGGACUGACUGUGGACAAAGAACAAAGGAGUUAAGAGGAUGCGCAGGCUGGAACCGAGGCUCCCAAUGCUGGGAGCUGAUCUCUGGGGGACACAGCUGAGAACAUGCCAACUUACCAGCAGGUGCCAGAAAGCUGUAGCUUGCCAGCUGGUCUCUGGUCCUGCUGUCAGGGGCUCCUCAGUCAAGGACAGAGAGGACUCAUGCCCCCCUUGCUGGGAUCUUGGGAAUUUUCCCAGGAGCAGCCCGAGUUCAUCUGGAACUGUGGCUUCUUAUAUUUAAACAACUGGAUCGAACCAGAAUGAAGGAGCCACCGGGCUGUAUUGCACCUCCAAGUCUGACACUUGUUCACUGGUUGUACAUCACUCACUCACUCCCAGCUCGUCUACUCACUGUGACAAGUUCCCUCUUCUCAGUUUCCCCACCUGUUUCUCAGGUCAGGUGGUCAAAGGAUUAACCCCUUCAUCCUUACAAGUGGCAGAUGGAAUCAACAUGUCAUUGAAUCUCAUAGGCCACAUUCACGUCACCAGAAGAAGUCACAGAAAUGAGCAUCCAUGUUUGAAAAAAAGUUACAAGAAGUCUUGAGGGCUUAAAAUGCUAAGAUCUAGAGCGGUGAUGGCGAACCUAUGACACGUGUGUCAGAGGUGACACGCAAACUCAUUUUUUUGGUUGAUUUUUCUUUGUUAAAUGGCAUUUAAAUAUAUAAAAUAAAUAUCAAAAAGAUAAGUCUUUGUUUUACUAUGGUUGCAAAUAUCAAAAAAUUUCUAUAUGUGACACGGCACCAGAGUUAAGUUAGGGUUUUUCAAAAUGCUGACAUGCCGAGCUCAAAAGGUUCGCCAUCACUGAUCCAGAGAAUGCAGCCUGUAUCACUGGGGAUGUAAAUUUUCACAAUCAUUGUAUCUCUCACUUACAUGUAGGAAAUAGUAAAACUGAAAACAAAACCAAA
Molecule: RNA transcript, 3472 nt
Organism: Myotis lucifugus (little brown bat)
Lineage: Eukaryota; Metazoa; Chordata; Mammalia; Chiroptera; Vespertilionidae
Gene: EZH2
Gene name: enhancer of zeste 2 polycomb repressive complex 2 subunit
Exons: 21
Source: RefSeq, a predicted model, not a curated record